This is a small nuclear RNA of Ochotona curzoniae (black-lipped pika), 105 nucleotides long. NCBI's taxonomy places the organism in Eukaryota, Metazoa, Chordata, Mammalia, Lagomorpha, Ochotonidae. The record is from RefSeq and is a predicted model, not a curated record.
GUGCUCGCUUCGGCAGCACAUAUGCUGAAAUUGGAAUGAUACAAAAAAGAUUAGCAUGGCCCCUGCACAAGGAUAAUGCAAAUUCGUGAAGCGUUCUAUAUUUUU